GCAGUCCUUGUCUUGGGGAGCAAAGUAUUCAAUGAUCGUCUAGUGAGAGUACUGUUGCUGAAGCCCAUUAUUUAAUUAUGAACCGCAUCCACAAUUUUUAUUGUGAGAUGCAAUUUUUGGAUAG
Osmia bicornis bicornis is the source of this 124-nucleotide small nuclear RNA. RefSeq annotates it as U4atac minor spliceosomal RNA. The record is from RefSeq and is a predicted model, not a curated record. NCBI's taxonomy places the organism in Eukaryota, Metazoa, Arthropoda, Insecta, Hymenoptera, Megachilidae. The transcript has a single exon.